AUUGAACGCUGGCGGCAUGCUUUACACAUGCAAGUCGAACGGCAGCGGGGAGGAGCUUGCUUCUCUGCCGGCGAGUGGCGCACGGGUGAGUAAUACAUCGGAACGUGUCGAGAAGAGGGGGAUAACCACCCGAAAGGGUGGCUAAUACCGCAUAAAUUCUGAGGAAGAAAGCUGGGGACCUAGGAAUAGGCCUAGCGCUUUUUGAGCGGCCGAUGUCGGAUUAGCUAGUUGGUGAGGUAAAGGCUCACCAAGGCGAAGAUCUGUAGCGGGUCUGAGAGGAUGGUCCGCCACACUGGGACUUAGACACGGCCCAGACUCCUACGGGAGGCAGCAGUGGGGAAUUUUGGACAAAGGGGGCAACCCUGAUCCAGCCAUGCCGCGUGUAUGAAGAAGGCCUUAGGGUUGUAAAGUACUUUUGUUAGGGAAGAAAAGGCAGCUGUGAAUAAUGGCGGAUACUGACGGUACCUAAAGAAUAAGCACCGGCUAACUACGUG
This 494-nucleotide ribosomal RNA is filed under the name uncultured bacterium. RNAcentral describes it as "partial 16S ribosomal RNA". It matches the Rfam family "Bacterial small subunit ribosomal RNA", at positions 30 to 507 of the family's 1533-position model. The record is from RNAcentral.